CUCUCACCAGUAGCUCCUGUACUGGAGAGCCCAGAACUGGACACAGUGCACAGGUGUGGCCUCACCCAAGCAGAGGGGAAGGAUCACCUCCCUCAACAUGCCAGCAACACUUCCCUAAAGAAGCCCAGGAUACCCUUAGCUCUCUGCUGCAAGGGCACAUUGCAGGCUAACCCGGACCCUCACAGCCUUCUCUGAAGAGAUCUUCAGUGAAGAUGUUUAAUUGCCUGGACCUACUGUGGACCCCUGCCUACACCACUGAUCACCACGCUGUUGGGACCAGCCUUUCAGCCCAUUUUCCAUCUAUCUCUGGGCUCAUCCAGCCCAUACAUCAACAGCUUCACUAUGAGGAUGGUACAGGGGACCAUAUCAAAAGCCGGACACAAGUCAGGGUAGACAACAUGCCCUGCUCUUCCCUCAUCUACCAAGCCAGUCAUUUCUUCUGAGGGAGUUAUCACAUCGUUUAGGCAGGACUUCCCCUCUGUGAACCCAUGCUGACAUCAAGUGGUUCACCACAAAAUUAUUUACUCCUUUGCUAAAAGCAGCCUCACCCUUGCCUGACACCCCACUAGUGCUAAUGCCACCCUGCCUGUGAGGUCUUUUGAUGAAAUCCACUUGACUGUCAUCUCUUCAACAUACUUACUGGGAAGGGCUGAACUUGUCCCCCUCCCUGCUAUCCUGAGAGCACAGAGGGGUUCCACAAAACCCCCAGGCACAUGUGCACCAGGACUCGCUGAGAGAUGGCUGGCCAGCCAAAAGCCAGAGCCACUGCCUCCAGCACCUCCUUCUUCACCAAAGUAGCAGUCUGUGCCAGCAGCUUUGCUCCAGGUUUGGCUUUGACUUGCACAACUAAGACAACGUUGGCCAAGUCUGCUUGCAUACUGGGACCACAGUCAGCAACAUGCAGUACCAAACAGGAGACAAUAAACACCAGCAUCCAUUUA
Molecule: long non-coding RNA, 941 nt
Organism: Manacus vitellinus (golden-collared manakin)
Lineage: Eukaryota; Metazoa; Chordata; Aves; Passeriformes; Pipridae
Exons: 2
Source: RefSeq, a predicted model, not a curated record